AACGAACGCUGGCGGCAGGCCUAACACAUGCAAGUCGAACGAGACCUUCGUGUCUAGUUGCUCACGCUUACGUAACGCGUGGGAACCUUCCCUUAGGUUCGUAAUAACUCCCCGAAAGGGGUGCUAAUACCGGAUAAUGUCGUCGUACCAAAGAGUUAUCGCCUUUUGAUGGGCCCGCGUUCAAUUAGCUAGUUGGUAGGGUAAAAGCAUACCAAGUCGACGUUCCAUAUCUGGUACGAGAGGAUGAUCAGCCACACUGGGACUGAGACACGGACCAGAGUGCUACGGGAGGCAGCAGUGGGGAAUAUUAGACAGUGGGCGAAAGUGUGAUACAGCAAUGCCGCGUGAGUGAUGAAGGUUUUAGGGUUGUAAAGCUAUUUUAACGGGGAUGAUAAUGACAGUACCGGGAGAAUAAGCUCCGGCUAACUCCGUG
Molecule: ribosomal RNA, 433 nt
Filed under: uncultured bacterium
Lineage: Bacteria
Description: partial 16S ribosomal RNA
Rfam family: Bacterial small subunit ribosomal RNA
Source: RNAcentral